Molecule: non-coding RNA, 111 nt
Filed under: uncultured Eubacterium sp.
Lineage: Bacteria; Bacillati; Bacillota; Clostridia; Eubacteriales; Eubacteriaceae
Description: SAM riboswitch (S box leader)
Rfam family: SAM riboswitch aptamer (S box leader)
About the family: The SAM riboswitch is found upstream of a number of genes which code for proteins involved in methionine or cysteine biosynthesis in Gram-positive bacteria. The SAM riboswitch acts at the level of transcription termination control.
Source: RNAcentral
CCUUAUCGAGAGCGGCUGAGGGAAUAGGCCCGAUGAAGCCCGGCAACCUGUUACGGGGAAUCGUACAAGGUGCCAAAUCCUACAGGAGCAGGACCCUCCUGAAAGAUGAGG